Molecule: long non-coding RNA, 501 nt
Organism: Schistocerca americana (American grasshopper)
Lineage: Eukaryota; Metazoa; Arthropoda; Insecta; Orthoptera; Acrididae
Exons: 3
Source: RefSeq, a predicted model, not a curated record
ACGAGUCGUCCAUCGUGAAACGGGAAGUCCAGAAGUGUACACCCAACUCGAGCUUCAGGAUUGACUGCAACACGUGCACGUGCAACAGCGGUGGAACUUCCGCCAGCUGCACCCUGCUGGGAUGUCUCAACUCCAGGCGGAGACUGGUAAAAUGCGCUCCAGGAACGACCUUCAAGGACCAGUGUAACGUCUGUCGCUGCAGUUUCGACGGUAGGAGUGUCUCCUGCACCACGAAAGUGUGUUACCCUGGCUCAUAUUAACCAGCAUUCCUUCGUGAAGGUGACAGAUUGCAGUUUAGACGAAACAACGCCAUUUUAGCAAUGUGGACCCCCUUCUUUAAUGCUGCAGCAAAUUAUUUUCAACUCGCUCAUCGCCUUCAAGCAUGUAAAAGAGACACAAUGAUUGUAAUCUGUCUAUCAAAGACACAACUUUACUUCAAUUGUAUGUAAAUGCAGUAAUGUUUUAAUUUUCUUUUUGAUUCAUUUCCUCAUAAAGUUAUUA